This 68-nucleotide transfer RNA is filed under the name Marmota monax (woodchuck). RNAcentral describes it as "tRNA.Gly". The record is from RNAcentral. Lineage: Eukaryota; Metazoa; Chordata; Mammalia; Rodentia; Sciuridae.
GGAUUUUGGCUCAGAGGUAAAGCGCUCGCCUACCAUGCAUGGGGCACUGGGUUCGAUCCUCAAUACCA